AUUAUGUUUUAAUUUAUUGUGAGCCUGUUUGUUUUUCUCCCUUCUUCCUCCUCUGUUCCCAGGGUGAGGCAGGUCAACCAGGACAAAAAGGAGAGAGAGGACUGACUGGGGCCAAAGGGGAUAUGGGAAUGCCAGGACCACCAGGAAGACCUGGCCCCCCAGGACCAACAGGCCCUGGACUCUCUACAUGGGAUGAUUCUGGAGUUGAAGGAAGCAAG
Pygocentrus nattereri (red-bellied piranha) is the source of this 218-nucleotide long non-coding RNA. NCBI's taxonomy places the organism in Eukaryota, Metazoa, Chordata, Actinopteri, Characiformes, Serrasalmidae. The record is from Ensembl.